ACUCCUACGGGAGGCAGCAGUGAGGAAUUUUGCGCAAUGGGCGAAAGCCUGACGCAGCAACGCCGCGUGAGUGAUGAAGGCCUUCGGGUCGUAAAGCUCUGUCAAGUGGGAAGAACCUAUAUAAUGUUAAUAUCAUUAUAUACUGACGGUACCACUGAAGGAAGCACCGGCUAACUCCGUGCCAGCAGCCGCGGUAAGUACGGGGGUGCAAGCGUUAUUCGGAAUCAUUGGGCGUAAAGAGCACGUAGGCGGCCUGGUAAGUCAGAUGUGAAAGCCCGGGGCUUAACCCCGGAAGUGCAUUUGAUACUGUCAGGCUUGAGUAUGGGAGAGGGAAGUGGAAUUCCUGGUGUAGAGGUGAAAUUCGUAGAUAUCAGGAGGAACACCGGUGGCGAAGGCGACUUCCUGGACCAAUACUGACGCUGAGGUGCGAAGGCGUGGGUAGCAAACAGGAUUAGAUACCCCGUGGUAGCGACUGA
RNAcentral lists this ribosomal RNA (476 nucleotides) under uncultured bacterium. Its description in RNAcentral is "bacterial SSU rRNA". It matches the Rfam family "Bacterial small subunit ribosomal RNA", at positions 335 to 798 of the family's 1533-position model. The record is from RNAcentral.